This 137-nucleotide small nucleolar RNA is filed under the name Prolemur simus (greater bamboo lemur). The record is from RNAcentral. Lineage: Eukaryota; Metazoa; Chordata; Mammalia; Primates; Lemuridae.
UUGGCCCUGAAUCAAGGCCAGCAGUUUGCUGAAGCUGUUGGUUUCAAACAGGAGCCUAAAGAAUUAUCUUUCUAUGGUCUGUUGGCCAUUUCGGAACUUUGGAAAUGUAAUGGUCAAUUCCUUAGAAAGAAACAUCU